RNAcentral lists this ribosomal RNA (472 nucleotides) under uncultured bacterium. RNAcentral describes it as "bacterial SSU rRNA". It matches the Rfam family "Bacterial small subunit ribosomal RNA", at positions 335 to 799 of the family's 1533-position model. The record is from RNAcentral.
ACUCCUACGGGAGGCAGCAGUGGGGAAUAUUGCACAAUGGGCGCAAGCCUGAUGCAGCCAUGCCGCGUGUAUGAAGAAGGCCUUCGGGUUGUAAAGUACUUUCAGCAGUGAGGAAGGUGGGUAUGUUAAUAGCAUAUUCAUUUGACGUUAGCUGCAGAAGAAGCACCGGCUAACUCCGUGCCAGCAGCCGCGGUAAUACGGAGGGUGCGAGCGUUAUCCGGAAUUAUUGGGUUUAAAGGGUCCGUAGGCGGGCCGGUAAGUCAGGGGUGAAAGUCUGUAGCUCAACUAUAGAACUGCCUUUGAUACUGCCGGUCUUGAGUCACGGUGAAGUUGCCGGAAUAUGUGGUGUAGCGGUGAAAUGCAUAGAUAUCACAUAGAACACCGAUUGCGAAGGCAGGUGACUAACCGUGUACUGACGCUGAUGGACGAAAGCGUGGGGAGCGAACAGGAUUAGAUACCCUGUAGGAUAGCG